Molecule: long non-coding RNA, 270 nt
Organism: Phyllostomus hastatus (greater spear-nosed bat)
Lineage: Eukaryota; Metazoa; Chordata; Mammalia; Chiroptera; Phyllostomidae
Exons: 3
Source: RefSeq, a predicted model, not a curated record
GGAUCGGACCGCUGUCGUCACCCCUCCCCCACCCCCCCACCCCCCUUGCAGAAAGGCGCACAGGGAGGGGAAACGAGGCAACAGCUAGAGAGAGACCCCGGCCUCCAAUGCCACCACCUGCGGAGACCAGCGGACAGGGCCAAAGACGGAACCUUAGGCCUUCACUGGAUGUGGCCCCCGAGGAAUGUGGAGACUCCAGGACCUCUUCAGGAAGCCCCAGAACUUUGACCUAUAUUUCAGGAAUCAGCAGCCUCUGCCGAAGGAAUCCGG